RNAcentral lists this ribosomal RNA (253 nucleotides) under uncultured bacterium. RNAcentral describes it as "partial 16S ribosomal RNA". It matches the Rfam family "Bacterial small subunit ribosomal RNA", at positions 524 to 776 of the family's 1533-position model. The record is from RNAcentral.
UACGAAGGGGGCUAGCGUUGCUCGGAAUCACUGGGCGUAAGGCGCACGUAGGCGGAUUGCUAAGUCAGGGGUGAAAUCCUGGAGCUCAACUCCAGAACUGCCUUUGAUACUGGCGACCUUGAGUCCGGGAGAGGUGAGCGGAACUGCGAGUGUAGAGGUGAAAUUCGUAGAUAUUCGGAAGAACACCAGUGGCGAAGGCGGCUCACUGGUCCGGUACUGACGCUGAUGUGCGAAAGCGUGGGGAGCAAACAGG